UAUUAUGACUAAUAAUUCUAGUUAAUCCAAUCAUCAGAUAAACUUACAAAAAUUAUAAAUCGGCUCACCAGCAUCACAACUCGAUUUGGUAGUUGCCUGAGCCACGACGGCCUUCAGCUUGACGACGAGAUCGAAUAGAGAAUGGUGAGCGUGAGGAUUUCAUAGCGAGGAUGAGCGACAUCUUGGAUUCAUGGUCCGACAUUUAAUCGAACACAUCGAAAGCGAGGUACAGCAGGAAUGGCAGUGAGGCUUGACGGCGAACGUCGUGACGAUGAACGACGAGGUCGACGACGCGAUUGGGAAUUAAAGCCGAGCGAGCCGAGAGGGCGCACUAGCGAGCAGGAAACAGGACGUGACAACAUGAGGCCUGACCCGGCGAACAGCGACGUGGAGAGCAAAGCGAGGUCGCGGCCGGGCGAACUUUAUUACGCGGACUGCUUUGCGGUCAGGACGGCUAACAGAGAGUUUCGCGCGCGGUCAACAGAUAGCUUGCGCAGGGACUUCGCGGUCAACAGAUAGCUUGCGCAGGGACUUCACGGCGUGCGGUGGAGCUGAGCGCCGGCAAGCGUCCCAGGCGCGCGACGAGCUGAGGGGGUGAGCUGCGCGUGUACAGAGGACAGGGAAGGCGCGGGCCAGGAUCGGCCAUCGGCGCGGCAAUCCGAAGCUUCGGCCAGCAGGACACCGAGCAGAAGUUCGACACACGCAGGGAGAUGGACGUCGAGAGCUUGAAGCAGACUGGAGCACCACUACGCGCAGGGGAGAGCCACUGCUUGGAGACGCGCCGCGAGGUGCGUGGCCAGAGAGGACAUUCGAGCUGGGAAGAUGCCGGGGCUGGGCAGAGGAUGGGCUCGAGCUGGAGACGAGCUCGGUCGGGACCUAGGCACCGGGCACGCGAGAUCCAGCGAGCGCAGGGGCGCGGCACAGGGAGUCGGGCGAGCAGGGAGCUUCGCGCGGCCCGCGAUGAAGGAGAAGGGGCGCGCGGCGAUGGGGCAGAGGGAAGCUCGACGGCGGCCGAGCGAAGGGGCGAGCGCAGGGAUAGACUCAGCGGGGAAGCAAGGAGAUGGGCUUCGAGCUGAGCAGAGCGCGGCGAAGGGCUGCAGCGCUGGGGCUCGACUGGAAGAAGAGCGCUCGGCUGGCCGGAGAUGAGAGCGAGUGCGUGCAAGCAGGGAGAGAGAGACACGCGGGGAGGAGUAGGCGCUGGGAGAGAGAACGCGGCAUGAGCAGAGAGGGAGGAGAUAAGGCCGCGUCAGGGGAGAACGGCGGCGGAAUCUUCACCGGCGGUGAGCGGCGACCGUAGAAAAAUCAGGACAGGGUGAGAACGAUGACGUGUAGGAGAUAAGGAUGGCUGGAAAAAAAUUCAAAGAAGAGAAAAAAUAGCGGUAGAGAGAGGAUAUUUUUACUCCUAUUUUCGUUAUUUUCUCUCACGCAAAAACACCUGCUAAAGUACCAUGGUUCCAAAAAUUAAGAUUUUGAAGAGCCAAAUUAGAUCAGGCUACAGUAUUCGGAUAAUAAUUAAGACAACACUGGUUUAGUCGAAAUCGGAUAAAAAUUUAUCCGUUAUCUAAACAAAGUUGAGUUGAUUAUCCUACAGUGUGGGAUGGAGGAUAAAUUGGAUCAUAAACUUGCGCAAGAUUUCGCGCGAUUCGAAUUAUUUUGCCCCGCACAUUUUAGGCGUUGAGCUCAAAUUAACUUGUUCGGGAUAAAAAUCGUCCAAGUGGUUCGGGCUUCCGAAUUCGUAUUCGCACGAGCGAAGAAUUUUAAUUAAUCACCGGACGCACCGAUUUUCGGAAUGUCGAUGUUCUGAAUAUCACGAAAAUUUAGGAAGAGCCCGGACAGAUAAAAAUAAAAACGACGUCGCACUCGCGACAGCCGAAACAGAUGCGAUAUUAAAAUCGCGAUAGACGAAAGAUGUUUAAAAUUUAACGUCUGUUUUAUUCAGCGAUAUUACGUGCUUAAAUCCAUACUCGUUGUCGAGUGGAAUAUAAACACCUGGGGUGUUACAGCCCUCCCCCUUAAAAGAAUCUCGUCCCGAGAUUCGGAGCGAAAGACUUCUAAGGGUAGAGAAGUAUGUAACCAAGUUCAUAUCAGCGAUAAUCCUAAGACGGUCCGGAGCGAAGGCGAGUGCCUCAGGAUGUGGUUUCUCCAGUGGACAUGUCAUAUAUCGCCUUAGGCUAAUUUAGAAAUGUCCACCAGAAGAUACAAUGUCUGCCAGAAGAACAUAUAAGGUUCCAUGUGUGCAGUUUGCCUUUUCUGAUGACACUGCACUAUCUGAGUUUGUUGAGUGAGCAGCAAAUACGCAAUUUUUCCCAAACAGAAUCAGAUGCACCAUCUUGGGUAAAACACAUAGAAGGAGGUUUACCAAUAAGUGGUCAUUGGGAUUUCAUAGCACACAAGACGAGUGUGGAUGUCGAACAACAUCACAGUUAACUCGUGUUAGGCUAGAAAAUCUAAGUCCUAGAAGGUGAUAUAGAUUCGAGAAAAUCACCAGCGGAGGGAUCUGUAGAUGUGGACUUUGCAACUAGUCCAUUUUACCCAGUACUAAUCAUGGCUUGACUUGAUCACCUAUGCUGGAAAAACACACGUGAUGCGAUCGAGGCAUGACUAGAGCGAUAAUUAGGUGGUUAUUAGUCGACUUAACCUCGAUUCUUAUAAACACUUCCUUAAAAUGGGUGGAACCAAAGUGAGUUUAGACAACUCGAUAAAACGAUCCCUAAACUCAACUUUUGUUCAUUAGGCAGUUACAAGUCAGUAAAACCAACUUGUUGAACUACUUUUGGCAUUGAGCAAGUCCUCUCAGUACCAUCGGUAAGCCAAGGGUUGAGAGUUUACCUUUUUGCUAGCAAAAGGUCAUGCAUUUGGGUAGAAAUCCAUUUGGUCAGGUUGUUCAUCCGUUUCUUCAUGCGAGAUGAACAGACUUGAUUAGGGAAUACAUGGAUUAAAUGAAAGAGCGAAUGAACAAACUCCUGCAUUUCAGCAGCAGGGGAAAUCCAAUCUCCAUUUUGAGAGCUAAUCAGUUGUCUCUCGACACUAAAAAGCUCCAAGGCUUCACCUUUACACGAAGGACGUAAAUGGAACUUGUAUAAGUAGUCACUAUCAAGAUCAAAAGAAAAGAAACCAUAUAUGAAAGCGGUAUGCCCUUUUGAUCCAACAGAGAUGAUAGAUGUUGCUUGAUCACUUCGACAGACAACACCGAAAUCGUUUCAAAGGAAGGUCCAUGGAAAAUAACGUAUCAGUGUAGUUUCAUAAUGGAUCAUAGCCAGAGACUUCGAUACUCGCACGCGCCAAGCAGCAUAACCUUGCGUGUACAUUCACAAGGGGCUCUCAGUUUCGCCGCGGUACCAUAAGUCCUUAACCAUGACACCAUUGCCGAACAGCACCAAUAAUGAAUCUCAUGUGGUAAGAACAAUUUGUGUAGAGAUAACAUAUUGACAUAAUCUCAUAAUGGAUUAUGACUACUAACUGUGAUACUAGCGUGUACCGAGCAGCACAACCUUGUUUGUAUACCCACAGGAGGCCCUCGGUUUCGUCACAGCACCAUCGGUUUUAGUCAUAACACCAUUACUAGACGUAACCAAUAAGAAAUCUCACGCAACACAAAUGGAUUGAGCAGGGGUGACAAUAUACAAAAAGAUUCUACCUGUCAAAACGGUUACAAGUAGAGAGCCAAAUAGAUUAUGGCCCGAUGAAAUGAACAAGGCAUGGCCAUAACCUAAACUUGAUGAAAGGAGAAUGAUGGGAGACUGUUACUUCAGCCCAAGAAUAUUUCUACGCCCAUCGCAGAGAUCACAAGGUCAAGGAUUAGUUUCUGAUUAGAUACGGAGGAAAAACAAUCACAAGGUUAAGUUGGUAUGCCUUCAAUAGAUAUGAGAAAAUCAAAGGCAUCAAACUCAAGAAAAUGAUCGGACAUGUCUUUCCUAAAUUAGGUUGAUAAAACAACAUGGCGAUCUUCAAGAACAGGCAAACUAGAAUAGAGACAUCAGCUUGCACAAAUCAAACAAGGGAAUGGUUUUAGAAGGAAACAUGACUCGAGAUUCUUGUUUCAAGUCCGGGUACACUUUAUGUCCAACGAAGAAGUUAUCUAAGCAUUUAUUUGUAUGUGUUUGGUCAUGGAGUGAUAAUGGAAAAAAUCAACUUUGGGUCAUGGUUCACUAACUAAGAACAUGUCCUAGAUUUGGGUUUAGGAAAACAAGUCACUAACCUUCUAUCGACACAUUAAGCACAAGAGCACACAUAUAGCAUCUAAACAUAAUACCUAAGGAACGGAGAACAGCUAUUUUAUCGAAGUUCAUAAUUCAACAUUACACCAGAUUAUCUACAAUCACUGGUUACUAGAAUAAAGAUGAGAGAAGCAUUUUGGAUGUAUAGGUGACAAACAUGAUGCAACAAUCAGGAUGCAUGCUCGUCCUACACGUCCUCACUGAUUUUGCCAACCAAAUGUGGCAAUAGCGUUCUAUAUCGGUGGCAUACUUACGACUCUCACGGUAUUUUGCUAGUCGUCAACUACACAUACGUUUUCGAGGUUAGUGUACCUGCAGAAAAAUCCAUCACAGCCCAAUUCCCAAUGAUGCAGUUCACACAUGACAGUUUAUCACAGUUUAUACUCCAUAUAUUGCUAUAUGGAGGCUAGCUCAUCAUUAAGCGCCGAGCCACGCAUAGGCGUCGUUGCCACACUUUAACCAUAGAGCAACUCAUUAUGGUAACUUACCUUCUUACCUGAGCGUAGGUGCGUCGUUAUAAGUACAUUACACUUCUCAGUAGUCCCAUGUCUGUUUACCCAUACACAUCCAUGGGGUACUGAAUUCCCAGAAAAGUAAAUACUCCACAUCGCAGCCUUCAUAUAUACAUAUGUGGAACAUGUAUAUAAUCAAGCGCUUUUUACACUCUUCCCUAGACCGACGUUUGUUUCGUCAUGCUCUCACAUCUCACCUUACCUUAAGCGUCGAUCCAUUCAAAACUGAAUGGCCUCAAAAAUAACAUUACACAUGUAUGCAAUACCCACCUGGUUGUGGGUUAAUGUUUUGAACUAAUCCACCUGAUAGUCCUUAAUUUUAGGGCUUAACAGAGGAUGUCGCUAGCAUUAUAGUUUUUCAAAACUGUUUUUCAAAGCCAAACAAUGUGUUUAGUUGAAAAUAGUUUUUCUAAAACCAAAACUUUUGUUUUGAAAAUACGUAUGUGACUGUAUAUACUUAAUCCAGCUCCGAUACCAGCUGUGGCAGAACCUCCCAAGUUAUUGGGCCCACAUACACCUGUCCUUGUCUCAAAGACCUCAUACGGCUAUGCAUGUGCACCAAAUAACUUAACAGGAUCCGUCCGAGUGUCCCAAGGACCUCAGAUAAACCACUUACAACCAGAACCGCGGGAUUAAGUAACACAAAUCACACACACCAAUAUUUUUGCAGCGGAAAUCUUGUUACCAAAUUUUACAAGUUACAAAAAUUUUACAUUAUUUUAUCGGAGUGAUUGCAAAAGUAUAAGUUUGAAAUAUAUGCUAGCUCAAGGGACCAUCCUCAUUAAGAAGUUUAGAAGGGUUAGUUAGACUUAUAAGAAGGCCGAGCCCACCGGCACUUAACACCAUCAUCAGCAGCACAAAACUAUGACCUGAAAAACAACAGGGAAUAAAACCCUGAGUAUGGAAUUACUCAGCAAGACUUACCCGACUAAAGAAAAGACUCUCAAGGAUAUGCUGGAUUUGGGAAUCAAGGAGAGGCUUUUAGCAAGAAUCAACUUAGAUACUUUUGCAGAAAAAGCUUACUAAAGUGAGUCCUUACUUUCAAUAUUUUAAUGCCAGAUUAAAUAUUAAUAGACUCUGUUUGCACCUAGUCUAAUUUCACCAUUUCAUCAAUACAACAUCAUUUUUACUCAUAAUGUUUACAUCCUGACUUAGGUUGCAGGUCGGAGAUCAAGUCUCCACUCUCCGGGGAUAUAACGGCGAUCCGAAUCGAUUUACUCAGCUGAGGAUCUCUAACCAAACGACAUAUGUAGCACUUAACCCUUGCAUACGUCAACCGUUCCCACAGAUCCUCCACAACGUGAACCGGUCUGCGCUACCCGGGAGCACAGUACUCCUCCAUCCAGCCUCUAGCCAGGAGGGUACACGCUACUCCCACCAUCUCCCACGCCCAGUGCGCGGUUGUCUUUUCACGUAUGGAAUAGCCGGGUUCAAGCUUACCCUGUCCCAUUUCCAGGGCAUGUGGCUAGUUAAGAUAGUCCUUGAUCAACAGGCCUACAUACGCAUCCAAUCCUUAAUUAACCUGGGCGGAGCAUCACUGUUCCUAGCCCAAGUCCCGAUUUAAGUACUUCCAUCCUUAGGAGUGUUUGUGUUCCUUAGGAUAAAAAGAGCAUUAUAGGGAACCUUGCAGUAAGAUUCCACCAUGCUCCCAAUGAAAAUAUUCUUGCAGGUAGAAAUCAUCCUCCUCAGGAUAAACCUGAGCUAGGCAUAAGUGCAAAGGACUAACUCUAUCUGCUUAUAAGCAGGGCUAAGCAUUUUUUGUAAAUUAUAUUUUGAUACUUCACCAGAAGUAUCUAUAAAAGGAAUGGAUUUCAAGGUAGCCAAUGCAUCAAAGGGUUCCAAGCAACUCCUAUAAACCUAAUGCACAUUCACUAGACUUAAAGUGUGUAAAAAUAAUUUAAAAACACAAGGAAGGGGUUGCAUGCACUAGGGCUUGCCUGAAUAACACUAGGUUAGUGUUUGUUAGACGACGUCCACUUGACGACCAUCUUUAGGUUUAUCCAUCAGCAUCAUCCUGUGGAUUGGCCUGCGCUUGGGGUCGACUUGGGUCGCUUCCACAUCACGCGAUUAAUUAUCGUACCUGACUGAAAUGCAUUAUGCAUAUGAAUACAUAUAGAUAGGAAUAUUAUAAACCUAAAUAGUGCUACACGAUAGCGAAUUAAAUUCGUAGCGGCGAGGCGUUGUACUAUUUUACGAAAAUACUAGUUAUCGACCUACGACUAAGCGCAAUAAUUACGCUUCUCGAACCUAUCACAAACAACUAACUAUACACAUUAAAUAUAAUUAGCCUACACAACUCACCAGCUAAAUUCUAACCUUAUCACUUGCUUUAUAAAUUAUACUACAUCGCUCAUAAAGAACUAUUUUAAUUUUAUUUCACCCCUCACAUAUUUUACAUAUCAACAGUUAAUCAAACAUUUCUUUAUGUUAUUUAUUUAGUGCAAUUGACAAUGACAAAAUUCAUCAGAUAGCUAUAUGAAAUAAUAAAUCUAUCCUUUACGUCGCCACCUCGCUUAGAUUUCACUAAAUUAAUCUACCUUUCGCAUUACUAAACCCAUCGUACUUCACUUAUUUUUUAACACUACCACAACGCGCCUGCGCUAAAUACGAGGAUUAUUACGACUAAUAAUUCUAGUUAAUCCAAUCAUCAGAUAAACUUACAAAAAUUAUAAAUCGGCUCACCAGCAUCACAACUCGAUUUGGUAGUUGCCUGAGCCACGACGGCCUUCAGCUUGACGACGAGAUCGAAUAGAGAAUGGUGAGCGUGAGGAUUUCAUAGCGAGGAUGAGUGACAUCUUGGAUUCAUGGUCCGACAUUUAAUCGAACACAUCGGAAGCGAGGUACAGCAGGAAUGGCAGUGAGGCUUGACGGCGAACGUCGUGACGACGAACGACGAGGUCGACGACGCGAUUGGGAAUUAAAGCCGAGCGAGCCGAGAGGGCGCACUGGCGAG
RNAcentral lists this long non-coding RNA (7682 nucleotides) under Zea mays. RNAcentral describes it as "long non-coding RNA (ZMAY_LNC005605)". The record is from RNAcentral. Lineage: Eukaryota; Viridiplantae; Streptophyta; Magnoliopsida; Poales; Poaceae.